CUCGGCUACGAACCGAGCGGUCGGAGGUUCGAAUCCUCCCGGAUGCACCA
RNAcentral lists this transfer RNA (50 nucleotides) under Escherichia coli. RNAcentral's name for it is "tRNA-Ser". It matches the Rfam family "tRNA", at positions 26 to 71 of the family's 71-position model. From Rfam's summary of the family: Transfer RNA (tRNA) molecules are approximately 80 nucleotides in length. Their secondary structure includes four short double-helical elements and three loops (D, anti-codon, and T loops). The record is from RNAcentral. Lineage: Bacteria; Pseudomonadati; Pseudomonadota; Gammaproteobacteria; Enterobacterales; Enterobacteriaceae.